RNAcentral lists this long non-coding RNA (465 nucleotides) under Marmota monax (woodchuck). Lineage: Eukaryota; Metazoa; Chordata; Mammalia; Rodentia; Sciuridae. The record is from RNAcentral.
GUUUGUAUUUCUAUUCUUCAUGAGCCUAGGAAGGAUAAAUAUGGUCAUGAAAAGCCAAGGAAUACUGGCUUCCUAUCCACACUGUGGAAACCAUCAUGUUUAGUGUCAUUUUUGUUGGGAAGAACUUGAUACUGAGAACACCAUUUUGAAACAUGUCCUCCAUCACCUCAUGGUCACUCUGACUCAACUCACCUAAACUCCGGAAAAUACUCCAUCUUCAUACAAAGAAGGAAAACCAUCUGGGACUGAAAUUCUGAAAAACAUCUGGUUCGACAUGGAUCAGUUGCCACCUCAAAGAAUGGAGGUGGUGACCACAGGCCCUUUCCCUGACAACCCUCUAGCAAGGACCUAAUUCCCUCACUCCCUCACGUCCCUAAACCACCCCAGGCUGUAAGCGGAAGACAGGUCUCAGUCUCUACUGAGCCCUCUCUGCAGUUUGUCCUGAUAAACCUGUGUUACUGGUGA